ACUGCUCAGUAACACGUGGCUAAUCUGCCCUUGGGACGAGAACAACCCCGGGAAACUGGGGCUAACUCUCGAUAGGCGAAGAACUCUGGAAUGAGUCUUUACCUAAAUAGUGCAACGUUAUGCUCGUUGCAUCGCCCAAGGAUGAGGCCGCGACCGAUCAGGUUGUUGGCGAGGUAAUGGCUCACCAAGCCUUUUACCGGUGCGGGCCGUGGGAGCGGGAGCCCGGAGAUGGGCACUGAGACAAGGGCCCAGGCCCUACGGGGCGCAGCAGUCGCGAAAACUUUGCAAUAAGCGAAAGCUUGACAGGGCUAUCCCGAGUGCCAUCCGCUGAGGAAGGCUUUUACCCAGUCUAGAACGCUGGGGGAAUAAGGAGAGGGCAAGUCUGGUGUCAGCCGCCGCGGUAAUACCAGCUCUCCGAGUGGUGUGGAUGUUUAUUGGGCCUAAAGCAUCCGUAGCUGGCUAAGUUAGUCCCUUGUUAAAUCCACCGAAUUAAUCGUUGGAUUGCGGGGGAUACUGCUUGGCUAGGGGACGAGAGAGGCAGACGGUAUUUUCGGGGUAGGGGUGAAAUCCUAUAAUCCCGGGAAGACCACCAGUGGCGAAGGCUGUCUGCUAGAACGCGCCCGACGGUGAGGGAUGAAAGCUGGGGGAGCGAACCGGAUUAGAUACCCGGGUAGUCCCAGCUGUAAACGAUGCAUGCUAGGUGUUUGGACGGCCACGUGCCGUUCUAGUGCCGCAGGGAAGCUGUUAAGCCUGCCGCCUGGGGAGUACGAUCGCAAGAUUGAAACUUAAAGGAAUUGGCGGGGGAGCAC
This 809-nucleotide ribosomal RNA is filed under the name uncultured archaeon. Its description in RNAcentral is "bacterial SSU rRNA". It matches the Rfam family "Archaeal small subunit ribosomal RNA", at positions 85 to 879 of the family's 1478-position model. The record is from RNAcentral.